This 253-nucleotide ribosomal RNA is filed under the name uncultured bacterium. Its description in RNAcentral is "partial 16S ribosomal RNA". It matches the Rfam family "Bacterial small subunit ribosomal RNA", at positions 524 to 776 of the family's 1533-position model. The record is from RNAcentral.
GACAGAGGCGGCGAGCGUUACCCGGCUUCACUGGGCGUAAAGGGUGCGUAGGCGGUCGCGCAUGUCGUCGGUGAAAUCUCCCUGCUCAACGGGGAGAGGUCCGACGAAACUGCGCGGCUGGAGGGCCGGAGAGGGAGGCGGAACUUCCAGAGUAGCGGUGAAAUGCGUAGAUACUGGAAGGUACCUCAAUAGCGAAGGCAGCCUCCUGGCCGGUUCCUGACGCUGAUGCGCGAAAGCGUGGGGAGCAAACCGG